RNAcentral lists this ribosomal RNA (468 nucleotides) under uncultured bacterium. RNAcentral describes it as "partial 16S ribosomal RNA". It matches the Rfam family "Bacterial small subunit ribosomal RNA", at positions 28 to 507 of the family's 1533-position model. The record is from RNAcentral.
GACGAACGCUGGCGGCGUGCUUAACACAUGCAAGUCGAACGGAAAGGCCCUGCUUUUGUGGUGUGCUCGAGUGGCGAACGGGUGCGUAACACGUGAGUAACCUGCCCUUGUCUUUCGGAUAACUUCAGGAAACUGGGGCUAAUACCGGAUAGGAGCUCCUGCUGCAUGGUGGGGGUUGGAAAGUUUCGGCGGUUGGGGAUGGACUCGCGGCUUAUCAGCUUGUUGGUGGGGUAGUUGCUUACCAAGGCUUUGACGGGUAGCCGGCCUGAGAGGGUGACCGGCGACAUUGGGACUGAGAGACGGACCAGACUCCUACGGGAGGCAGCAGUGGGGAACAUGGCACAAUGGGCGGAAGCCUGAGGCAGCAACGCCGCGUGCGGGAUGACGGCCUUCGGGUUGUGAACCGCUUUCGCCUGUGACGAAGCGGGAGUGACGGUAAUGGGUAAAGAAGCACCGGCUAACUACGUG